Molecule: ribosomal RNA, 589 nt
Filed under: Campylobacter jejuni
Lineage: Bacteria; Pseudomonadati; Campylobacterota; Epsilonproteobacteria; Campylobacterales; Campylobacteraceae
Description: partial 23S ribosomal RNA
Rfam family: Bacterial large subunit ribosomal RNA
Source: RNAcentral
GAUGGACUGCCUUUUGCAUAAUGAGCCUGCGAGUUGUGGUGUCUGGCAAGGUUAAGCAAACGCGAAGCCGUAGCGAAAGCGAGUCUGAAUAGGGCGCUUAGUCAGAUGCUGCAGACCCGAAACGAAGUGAUCUAUCCAUGAGCAAGUUGAAGCUAGUGUAAGAACUAGUGGAGGACUGAACCCAUAGGCGUUGAAAAGCCCCGGGAUGACUUGUGGAUAGGGGUGAAAGGCCAAUCAAACUUCGUGAUAGCUGGUUCUCUCCGAAAUAUAUUUAGGUAUAGCGUUGUGUCGUAAUAUAAGGGGGUAGAGCACUGAAUGGGCUAGGGCAUACACCAAUGUACCAAACCCUAUCAAACUCCGAAUACCUUAUAUGUAAUCACAGCAGUCAGGCGGCGAGUGAUAAAAUCCGUCGUCAAGAGGGAAACAACCCAGACUACCAGCUAAGGUCCCUAAAUCUUACUUAAGUGGAAAACGAUGUGAAGUUACUUAAACAACCAGGAGGUUGGCUUAGAAGCAGCCAUCCUUUAAAGAAAGCGUAAUAGCUCACUGGUCUAGUGAUUUUGCGCGGAAAAUAUAACGGGGCUAAAGU